GCCGCGGUAAUACGUAGGUGGCAAGCGUUGUCCGGAAUUAUUGGGCGUAAAGCGCGCGCAGGCGGUCUGUCAAGUCUGACGUGAAAGCUCCUGGCUUAACUGGGAGAGGUCGUUGGAAACUGAUGGGCUUGAGGCAAUGAGAGGGGUGUAGAAUACCCGGUGUAGUGGUGGAAUGCGUAGAUAUCGGGAGGAAUACCAGUGGCGAAGGCGACACCCUGGCAUUGACCUGACGCUGAGGUGCGAAAGCGUGGGGAGCGAACGG
This 262-nucleotide ribosomal RNA is filed under the name uncultured bacterium. RNAcentral's name for it is "partial 16S ribosomal RNA". It matches the Rfam family "Bacterial small subunit ribosomal RNA", at positions 514 to 775 of the family's 1533-position model. The record is from RNAcentral.